GCAGAUAGAAGGGCUGGCUUUGU
This 23-nucleotide non-coding RNA is filed under the name Cricetulus griseus (Chinese hamster). The record is from RNAcentral. Lineage: Eukaryota; Metazoa; Chordata; Mammalia; Rodentia; Cricetidae.